This 207-nucleotide ribosomal RNA is filed under the name uncultured bacterium. Its description in RNAcentral is "partial 16S ribosomal RNA". It matches the Rfam family "Bacterial small subunit ribosomal RNA", at positions 568 to 774 of the family's 1533-position model. The record is from RNAcentral.
CGUGUAGGCGGUUUGGUAAGUUGGGUGUUAAAUCUCCGGGCUCAACCCGGAGUCGUUGUCCAAAACUACCAAACUAGAGGACGGUAGAGGGAGGUGGAAUUCCGGGUGUAGCGGUGAAAUGCGUAGAUACCCGGAGGAACACCAGUGGCGAAGGCGGCCUCCUGGGCCGUACCUGACGCUCAGACGCGAAAGCUAGGGGAGCGAACG